RNAcentral lists this ribosomal RNA (253 nucleotides) under uncultured bacterium. RNAcentral's name for it is "partial 16S ribosomal RNA". It matches the Rfam family "Bacterial small subunit ribosomal RNA", at positions 524 to 776 of the family's 1533-position model. The record is from RNAcentral.
UACAGAGGGGGCAAGCGUUGUUCGGAAUUAUUGGGCGUAAAGGGCGCGUAGGCGGUGCGGUAAGUCACCUGUGAAAUCUCUGGGCUCAACUCAGAGUCUGCAGGCGAAACUGCCGUGCUUGAGUGUGGGAGAGGUGAGUGGAAUUCCCGGUGUAGCGGUGAAAUGCGUAGAUAUCAGGAGGAACACCGGCGGCGAAGGCGGCUUCUGGCUCAGUUACUGACGUUCAGGUACGAAAGCGUGGGUAGCAAACAGG